GACUGAACGCUAGCGAUGUGUGCCCUGAACCCUCCACUGUAAAACACAUGGCACCCAAUUCCUAUGCACACACCUCGUGCCUCUGGUCCUCUACUUUUAUAUAACGUGGCCACCACUCCAGUGUCAGCACAACAGUGUAGGAAGGAGAGACUGGACUGGGAAAUCUUGUUGGAGUGGGAGGGUCGGCAAAAAAUGAAUAGAGAAAACCCACUCUUGGAUUUCUUGCCUAUGCCUCCCAUUCCUACAGUCUUUUCACUAAGCUUUAUCUCCAUUCUCCCAUUCCUUCAUUCUGUUCUGAGAAGGAUUAAGGGUAAAUAGGGGGACUGGAGUGGGGAUCUGGGCAAGAACAUAAUUUUCUAUACGGAAAAAUAAAUGGGUUCUUGCCUAUUCCACCCAUAUAAUUCUUCCCCUGUCUUCUUGUCCAUGUUAUCCAAAUGAUGGAGAACUACAAAUGAUGGUUGAACGAGCACGCCACAUAUUGGGGAAUUUCUAACAUGCCCAGAUCUGGAAUUAUUGUAUAUUGAUUAUUGAGAUGUGUUAUUUGUUUCAGAUUGUUCCUUAAAAGGAAAAAUAAAUGAGAAAUUUUGUUCUUGAACCAGAAAGAGAAAUUUCUCCAAUUAAGUUCAGUGAUGAUUUGUUCUGUUUC
Molecule: long non-coding RNA, 646 nt
Organism: Rosa chinensis
Lineage: Eukaryota; Viridiplantae; Streptophyta; Magnoliopsida; Rosales; Rosaceae
Exons: 2
Source: RefSeq, a predicted model, not a curated record